UUCUUCUUCACGCCUCUAUCUACGUCUUGCCAUCUUUUGUUUCAUUUCUGGUGGCCCCUUCUUUCCUUCAUUCCACUGUGCAGGUUGCAGACAAUGAGCUAGUUGGUGCGAUCAAGAUUAUGUCUUGCCAUGGUGAGAAUGUUUGCUCGCACAAUCUCCAAGGGUCAUAUUUCAUGCGCAGCCUUUUUGUUCCCGAGCGUCUUCACCAUUCUCAGAUGUUCAUAGGCGGCGUUAAACCGACUAAUGCAAACAUUUCCACAAUAUCCUUUUUGAUUUUUUCUUUGUUGUAUUGUUUCUUAGAUAUUAUUUGCUUCCCCUUUUCGUUUGUUUAGAUUUCUUAAGAUGGCUGUUUUAAUUUCUUUCUCAUGCA
Long non-coding RNA from Nymphaea colorata (pocket water lily), 370 nucleotides. RefSeq lists it as uncharacterized. The transcript has 2 exons. The record is from RefSeq and is a predicted model, not a curated record. NCBI's taxonomy places the organism in Eukaryota, Viridiplantae, Streptophyta, Magnoliopsida, Nymphaeales, Nymphaeaceae.